Molecule: ribosomal RNA, 253 nt
Filed under: uncultured bacterium
Lineage: Bacteria
Description: partial 16S ribosomal RNA
Rfam family: Bacterial small subunit ribosomal RNA
Source: RNAcentral
UACAGAGAGUGCAAAUGUUGUUCGGAAUUACUGGGCUUAAAGCGCACGUAGGCGGCGCCGCAAGUGUUGGGUGAAAUCCCACGGCUUACCCGUGGAACUGCCCAGCAGACUGCGGUGCUAGAGGAUGGUAGGGGAGAGCGGAACUCCUGGUGGAGCGGUGAAAUGCGUAGAUAUCAGGAGGAACACCGGUGGCGAAGGCGGCUCUCUGGUCCAUUUCUGACGCUGAGGUGCGAAAGCUAGGGGAGCAAACGGG